GAUGAACGCUGGCGGCGUGCCUAAUACAUGCAAGUCGAGCGAACGGACGAGAAGCUUGCUUCUCUGAUGUUAGCGGCGGACGGGUGAGUAACACGUGGAUAACCUACCUAUAAGACUGGGAUAACUUCGGGAAACCGGAGCUAAUACCGGAUAAUAUUUUGAACCGCAUGGUUCAAAAGUGAAAGACGGUCUUGCUGUCACUUAUAGAUGGAUCCGCGCCGCAUUAGCUAGUUGGUAAGGUAACGGCUUACCAAGGCAACGAUGCAUAGCCGACCUGAGAGGGUGAUCGGCCACACUGGAACUGAGACACGGUCCAGACUCCUACGGGAGGCAGCAGUAGGGAAUCUUCCGCAAUGGGCGAAAGCCUGACGGAGCAACGCCGCGUGAGUGAUGAAGGUCUUCGGAUCGUAAAACUCUGUUAUUAGGGAAGAACAUAUGUGUAAUUAACUGUGCACAUCUUGACGGUACCUAAUCAGAAAGCCCCGGCUAACUACGUG
RNAcentral lists this ribosomal RNA (497 nucleotides) under uncultured bacterium. RNAcentral describes it as "partial 16S ribosomal RNA". It matches the Rfam family "Bacterial small subunit ribosomal RNA", at positions 28 to 507 of the family's 1533-position model. The record is from RNAcentral.